RNAcentral lists this ribosomal RNA (2103 nucleotides) under Eremotylus sp. Msp101. RNAcentral's name for it is "partial large subunit ribosomal RNA". It matches the Rfam family "Eukaryotic large subunit ribosomal RNA", at positions 34 to 1863 of the family's 3401-position model. Lineage: Eukaryota; Metazoa; Arthropoda; Insecta; Hymenoptera; Ichneumonidae. The record is from RNAcentral.
UUAGGCAUAUUAGUAAGCGGAGGAAAAGAAACUAACGAGGAUUCCCUUAGUAGCUGCGAGCGAACAGGGAAAAGCCCAGCACUGAAUCCCGGGGGCCUCGCCUCCAGGGAAAUGUAGUGUUUGGGAGGGUCCAUACACCCGAUACCGUCGCACUGCGUCCAAGUCCAUCUUGAAAGAGGCCACGGUCCCGAGAGGGUGCCAGGCCCGUGGUAGGCCAGUGCAGGUGUUGGGUGGACCUCUCCUCAGAGUCAGGUUGCUUGAGAGUGCAGCCCUAAGCGGGUGGUAAACUCCAUCUAAGGCUAAAUACAACCACGAGACCGAUAGCGAACAAGUACCGUGAGGGAAAGUUGAAAAGAACUUUGAAGAGAGAGUUCAAGAGUACGUGAAACCGCUCAGGGGUAAACGGAAAAGACCCGAAAUUUCCGAAGAGGGAGAUUCACGUCUUCUCGCGGGUUCGACGCAUCCAUUCCUCUCCGACGACCCUGCCCCCGCUCGGACUCGUCCGGUGCGUGGCGGUCGGGUUGCAGAGGGUGGUGUGGAGGCCUGCGGCGGACCGCACUUCUCCCUUAGUAGGACGUCGUGACCCGUCCGGUCAUGGUCAUAAGAGUGUUGGGUGGAGCCUGUCCGAUCGUGUUCGCACGUCUUCGGGCAGACCCCUGCGCUCCGGCCAUGAAUUUCGGUCGGUAUCGAAUGACAGUGUUAGGUCGCUUGCCGGCGGAGGAAACUCCUGCCAGUGAGUGCGUGUGGCUCUCGACAAGGUGCCGGGAUGUUGGGUCAAGGCGGGCUCCCGUCCGUCCGGCCCCACUCGGCCCUGUUGGUCUUGUUGCUCUCACGCUGGCCAAUUCUAUACGACACUCGUCUACGGCGAAUCAGUUUUGGGCUCUUGUCCGACCCGUCUUGAAACACGGACCAAGGAGUUCAGCGUGUACGCGAGUCAUUGGGUGAAAAAACCCAAAGGCGUAAUGAAAGUGAAGGGAACUUUACGUUUCUGAGGGAGGAUGAGUCGGUUACCCGCAAGGGGCUGCUCCGCACUCCCGGGGCGUCUCUUUCUCAUUGCGAGUGGAGGCGCACCCAGAGCGUACACGCUGAUACCCGAAAGAUGGUGAACUAUGCCUGGCCAGGACGAAGCCAGGGGAAACCCUGGUGGAGGUCCGCAGCGAUUCUGACGUGCAAAUCGAUCGUCGGAGCUGGGUAUAGGGGCGAAAGACCAAUCGAACCAUGAUGAGAACUCCGGCUUUUCUUGAACUUUGUUUUUGAAGCCGGGGGCUCGGAUCAGAGUGCCAAGUGGGCCAAUUUUGGUAAGCAGAACUGGCGCUGUGGGAUGAACCAAACGUCGAGUUAAGGCGCCCAAAUCGACGCUCAUGUGAAACCAUGAAAGGCGUUGGUUGCUUAAGACAGCAGGACGGUGGCCAUGGAAGUCGGAAUCCGCUAAGGAGUGUGUAACAACUCACCUGCCGAAGCAACUAGCCCUGAAAAUGGAUGGCGCUGUAGCGUCGUGCCUAUACUCGACCGUCAACGGCAAAAGUGGCUGGCGGGCAACCGUCGGCCGUUAAGCCUUGACGAGUAGGAGGGCCGCGGCGGCGUGCGUAGAAGGGUCUGGGCGCGAGCCUGCCUGGAGCCGCCGUCGGUGCAGAUCUUGGUGGUAGUAGCAAAUACUCCAGCGAGGCCCUGGAGGACUGAUGUGGAGAAGGGUUUCUUGUGAACAGCUGUUGCACAAGAGUCAGUCGGUCCUAAGCCCUAGGAGAAAUCCGAAGCGAUGGGUUGCCGUUAAUAUUUCAAUAUAAUAUGAAGGCACCCGUUUGGGCGAAAGGGAAUCUGGUUCCUAUUCCAGAACCUGGCAGUGGAACCGUUCCAAUUCGGGCCCUCUGAGGACUCGUCAGGGCAACCUGAAUAGACCCGGAGACGCCGACAGGAGGUUGGGGGAGAGUUGUCUCUUCUCUAUAAGCGAUCGAGUUCCCUGGAAACUUCUAGCAAGGAGAUAGGGUUUGGAUCGCGAAGAGCACUGCAGUUACGGCAGUGUCCCAAUCUUCCUCUCGGACCUUGAAAAUCCGGGUGAGGGCCACGAGGAACCCCACGCCAGACCGUACCCAUAUCCGCAGCAGG